Non-coding RNA from Cricetulus griseus (Chinese hamster), 46 nucleotides. Lineage: Eukaryota; Metazoa; Chordata; Mammalia; Rodentia; Cricetidae. The record is from Rfam.
CCAAAGGCUCUUUUCAGAGCCACUCAUACAGUCCAAAAAGAAGCUG